CGGCGGACGGGUGAGUAAUGCCUAGGAAUCUGCCUGGUAGUGGGGGACAACGUUUCGAAAGGAACGCUAAUACCGCAUACGUCCUACGGGAGAAAGCAGGGGACCUUCGGGCCUUGCGCUAUCAGAUGAGCCUAGGUCGGAUUAGCUAGUUGGUGAGGUAAUGGCUCACCAAGGCGACGAUCCGUAACUGGUCUGAGAGGAUGAUCAGUCACACUGGAACUGAGACACGGUCCAGACUCCUACGGGAGGCAGCAGC
This 256-nucleotide ribosomal RNA is filed under the name uncultured Pseudomonas sp. Its description in RNAcentral is "partial 16S ribosomal RNA". It matches the Rfam family "Bacterial small subunit ribosomal RNA", at positions 96 to 355 of the family's 1533-position model. The record is from RNAcentral. Lineage: Bacteria; Pseudomonadati; Pseudomonadota; Gammaproteobacteria; Pseudomonadales; Pseudomonadaceae.